UUGAAUGUUCUUAACAGCGCAGAGAUAGCUAUGUUACUAUUCAUCACCAUACCCUAAAGAUAGCAUCACGCAUAAAGUGAAGUAUAAAAACGGCAUUAUUACGAACACAAGCGAUGCCGAAUGUGAUGGAGAUGUAGGAGUUGCCAGCAGCUAAGGGAAAAGUAUGUUAUUGUAUUAGUACAUAACACUUUGAUAUAUGACUACCCUUUGUGGGUCGGUGGUUUAUUCUCCUUUUGUUUUUUUUACUGUCACCCAAAAUAAAAUACAUAUUAUAUCCAUUUCACUUAUUGUAUUGUGUUUCAGUGUGAGGUGACUUUUUUUUUUUUGUGUUCAUAGAUGCCGUUUUUUUUUAUUUUAACUGAACUUUUUCUUAUCAACUCCCCUAACUAGUAAUUGGGCAGUGACUUAGACCAGUGAGUAUAGUAUUCUGAUAUGCAAUAGGAGGGGAAAAAGCAGCCAUGUAAAUGAAUUGUUGCUGCUAGAAAAGUAAGUCUAUGGUAUUAGUUAGUCUGGCACCAGUGAGUUUUGUCAUUUGGUAUUGAAGGCAAAAUAUGUAGCAUUGUCUUUCCAUCUUUAACAGCCAACCCAAUUUGAUACCUGAGAAGUUGUGCGUUUAGUGUGAAUUUUUAUUCAAACUUGGACAUGGCUUGGGCUCUGAAUAUAUAUAUGAUUACUUGGUACCUAAUGACACUGGUGAUAUUGGGUAAUACACAUUUGUUGCAGCGUAAUGCAGUCCUAGAUUUUACCAACUUUGUGCUGCAACCUGUGCAACCAUCCAUUUUAUUGCAGGAUCCUAGCUUUACAAACAAAGUCAGCUUCCUAAGGCUUCACAUAUGGCAAUAGAGGAAAGUUUGGUUAGGACAUGUUUAAUGCUUAUUGUUUUGAGAUUAUAUGAAUUUAUAAUGAUGAACACCUGGUCAUUUAACUUGGAGAGUUACGUGUAGAGGUCUGCAACUGACCACUGUUACUUCUUCUGAAUUCCCCCCAUUGUCUUAACACAUGGGAAAGCCUUUGUUGCUGCAACUCCCAAGCUGCGUCAGAAAGUAGACUGUAUGAGACAUACCACAAAUUUUAAGAAAAUAUAUCCUAACAACAGACAGCAGUAGAGGUGAUGUUUGAAGUGCAGAGCAUAACCCAUCGUGUGAAAUGCGCUAUAACGCGCAAUUGUAUAUCGAAUGUGAGAAAAAAAGAGGAAGAGGAACACGGGCGUACACAUGCAUUUCCAUGAGACUUCCCUGGCCUAUUGGUAAACUCUAAUGGCAGGAAUGUUUUUCUAUAUUUUUAGGGAAUUCAUUCUUUAAAAAUCUUGAUUGGAUGAAUAAUAGAUUUUGGAAAAACAAAAACAAAAAAAUAAUCCAAAAACCACAAACAAUGAUCCUCUAAAAUAUGUUCUUUAGUUUUUGUAGGUUACCUUUCCUUCUUUCUAUAGGGCAUCUGCCACGUAUUUUUCUUUCAUUUUUCUCCAAAAUUAAAACAUCAUUUAUUGUUCUUGUAAUUUGUUUUUUUUUUUUGCAGAUAUGCUUCAAUAAAUUAUUUUUUCCU
Molecule: long non-coding RNA, 1542 nt
Organism: Brassica rapa (field mustard)
Lineage: Eukaryota; Viridiplantae; Streptophyta; Magnoliopsida; Brassicales; Brassicaceae
Source: RefSeq, a predicted model, not a curated record